This 497-nucleotide ribosomal RNA is filed under the name uncultured bacterium. RNAcentral describes it as "partial 16S ribosomal RNA". It matches the Rfam family "Bacterial small subunit ribosomal RNA", at positions 28 to 507 of the family's 1533-position model. The record is from RNAcentral.
GAUGAACGCUGGCGGCGUGCCUAAUACAUGCAAGUCGAGCGAACGGACGAGAAGCUUGCUUCUCUGAUGUUAGCGGCGGACGGGUGAGUAACACGUGGAUAACCUACCUAUAAGACUGGGAUAACUUCGGGAAACCGGAGCUAAUACCGGAUGAUAUUUUGAACCGCAUGGUUCAAAAGUUAAAGACGGUCUUUCUGUCACUUAUAGAUGGAUACGGCCUGCAUUAGCUAGUUGGUAAGGUAACGGGUUACCAAGGCAACGAUGCAUAGCCGACCUGAGCGGGUGAUCGCCCACACUGGCACUGAGACACGGCCCAGACACCUACGGGAGGCAGCAGUAGGGAAUCUUACGCGAUGGGCGAAAGCCUGACAGAGCAACGCCGCGUGAGUGAUGAAGGUCUUCGGAUCGUAAAACUCUGUUAUUAGGGAAGAACAUAUGUGUAAGUAACUGUGAAGAUCUUGACGGUACCUAAUCAGAAAGCCCCGGCUAACUACGUG